Long non-coding RNA from Lycium barbarum (goji berry), 752 nucleotides. RefSeq lists it as uncharacterized. NCBI's taxonomy places the organism in Eukaryota, Viridiplantae, Streptophyta, Magnoliopsida, Solanales, Solanaceae. The transcript has 4 exons. The record is from RefSeq and is a predicted model, not a curated record.
CUCGAUUAAAGACUACACCCCCGUACACUCUCUCCAUAGCUCAACCUCCAUAGCUGCUCCAUAGCUUCUUCUUCAUCUCAAAAAACGCGACUUGUAAGCAUAAAAAAGGUUUGUGAAUCCAUAGCUCCACCUCCAUAGCUUCUUCUUCAUCUCAAAAACUUGACUGGUAAGCAUAAAAAAGGGUUUAGGAAACGUCGGAGGUUAUUGUUUCGUCUGCGAAGACUUGCCAUUACGGGCUGGCUCCUCGACAAUUCACUUCAAAAACACCUGCAAAUGCGGAAGAAAAUUUCAUAAGUGUGUUAAUCGUGAUAAAUCAUGCGGUUAUUGGAAAUGGGAUGAUGAAGAUUUUCCCGAUGGUGUAGUUAUUGCAAUUAACCAACUACGAUUAAAAUUGGAAGCGGCAAAAGGAUCGAUCAAUGUUUUGAACAUGACGUUGAAUCAAGUGAAGGUCCAAAGGGAUGGUUUGAAGGAUAAAGUGGAAGCUUGGGAGGCCAUCAAAAACUUUGAAGUUAAUAAAGCUAUGAAGUUGGAAGAGAAGGUAUUGAAGAUGAAGAUGUGUAUUAUAAUGUUAUGUGCCUUAAUUGUUGGAUUUGCAUUUGCGGCGAUGAAAAAAUGAAGCUCAUUAUUGUGUUUGUAUUUUAGUUUGAAGGUAUAUUAAGAAUGUUUAGUGUGACUAAAUUGAAGUUUAGUUUUGAAUGUGUAAUGUGCAUCUUGGAUAGUGUUGAAUGAAAUUCAUUGAUCUUUAAUUUCAA